Molecule: ribosomal RNA, 480 nt
Filed under: uncultured bacterium
Lineage: Bacteria
Description: bacterial SSU rRNA
Rfam family: Bacterial small subunit ribosomal RNA
Source: RNAcentral
AGUGAACGUUGGCGGCGUGCCUAACACAUGCAAGUCGAACGAGAACCGAGUAGCUUGCUACUCGGGGAAAGUGGCGAACGGGUGAGUAACACGUGAGCAAUCUACCCUCGAGUGAGGAAUAACCCCGCGAAAGCGGGCUAAUACCGCAUGAUGCUCUGGAGCAUAAGCUUUCAGAGUUAAAGCCCUCGGGCGCUUGAGGAUGAGCUUGCGUCCUAUUAGCUUGUUGGUAGGGUAACGGCCUACCAAGGUUAUGAUGGGUAGCCGGCCUGAGAGGGUGUCCGGCCACACUGGAACUGGGACACGGUCCAGACUCCUACGGGAGGCAGCAGUGGGGAAUUUUGCGCAAUGGGCGAAAGCCUGACGCAGCGACGCCGCAUGGAGGAUGAAGGCUUUCGGGUUGUAAACUCCUGUCAGAGGUGAAGAAAACCCCCUUCGGGGGGCUUGACGGUAACCUCAGAGGAAGCCCCGGCUAACUACGUG